AACUUUCAGCAACGGAUCUCUUGGCUCUCGCAUCGAUGAAGAACGCAGCGAAAUGCGAUACGUAAUGUGAAUCGCAGAAUUCAGUGAAUCAUCGAAUCUUUGAACGCACCUUGCGCCCCUUGGAAUUCCGAGGGGCACACCCGUUUGAGUGUCGUGAACAUCCUUCAACCUUUCUUGGUUUCUUAACCGGGGAAGGCUUGGACUUUGGGGGUCUUUCAUUGCUGGCCUCUUUGAAGCCAGCUCCUCCUAAAUGGAUUAGUGUGGUCUGCUUUGCCGAUCCUUGACGUGAUAAGAUGUUUCUACGUCUUGGGUUUCGCACUGUCGCUUUAGACCCCGCUUCUAACCGUCUUGCAUUCAAGACAGAGUUUUAAACCUUGACCUCAAAUCGGGUGAGACUACCCGCUGAACUUAAGCAUAUCAAUAAGCGGAGGCU
RNAcentral lists this unclassified non-coding RNA (433 nucleotides) under uncultured Russula. RNAcentral's name for it is "sequence contains ITS2". The stretch from base 1 to 154 matches the Rfam family "5.8S ribosomal RNA". Lineage: Eukaryota; Fungi; Basidiomycota; Agaricomycetes; Russulales; Russulaceae. The record is from RNAcentral.